UGCUGGGUGAGGAUUGGGUAAUCUGCAUCCUGAGGUUUAGAUUGCCAUGUAUUUUAAUGGAUGAUCUAGCCCUUGGGAUGCAGAUUAUCCCCUCCUCACUGGCA
RNAcentral lists this microRNA precursor (104 nucleotides) under Manihot esculenta (cassava). RNAcentral describes it as "miR2111a stem-loop (mes-MIR2111a)". The record is from miRBase by way of RNAcentral. Lineage: Eukaryota; Viridiplantae; Streptophyta; Magnoliopsida; Malpighiales; Euphorbiaceae.